AUACGUAGGGGGCGAGCGUUGUCCGGAAUGAUUGGGCGUAAAGGGCGCGUAGGCGGCCUGUUAAGUCUGGAGUGAAAGUCCUGUUUUCAAGAUGGGAAUUGCUUUGGAUACUGAUGGGCUUGAGUGCAGGAGAGGUUAUCGGAAUUCCCGGUGUAGCGGUGAAAUGCGUAGAGAUCAGGAGGAACACCAGUGGCGAAGGCGGGUAACUGGACUGCAACUGACGCUGAGGCGCGAAAGUGUGGGGAGCAAACAGGAUUAGAUACCCUGGUAGUCCACACUGUAAACGAUGAAUGCUAGGUGUAAGAGGUAUCGACCCCUUUUGUGCCGGAGUUAACACAAUAAGCAUUCCGCCUGGGGAGUACGGCCGCAAGGUUGAAACUCAAAUGAAUUGACGGGG
RNAcentral lists this ribosomal RNA (397 nucleotides) under uncultured bacterium. RNAcentral describes it as "partial 16S ribosomal RNA". It matches the Rfam family "Bacterial small subunit ribosomal RNA", at positions 523 to 918 of the family's 1533-position model. The record is from RNAcentral.